Molecule: ribosomal RNA, 253 nt
Filed under: uncultured bacterium
Lineage: Bacteria
Description: partial 16S ribosomal RNA
Rfam family: Bacterial small subunit ribosomal RNA
Source: RNAcentral
UACGUAGGGGGCAAGCGUUGUCCGGAUUUACUGGGCGUAAAGAGCGUGUAGGCGGCCAAACAGGUCCGUUGUGAAAACUGGAGGCUCAACCUCCAGACGUCGACGGAAACCGUGUGGCUAGAGUCCGGAAGAGGAGAGUGGAAUUCCCAGUGUAGAGGUGAAAUUCGUAGAGAUUGGGAAGAACACCAGUGGCGAAGGCGGCUCACUGGUCCGCAACUGACGCUGAGGUGCGAAAGCGUGGGGAGCAAACAGG